This is a long non-coding RNA of Rhinichthys klamathensis goyatoka, 764 nucleotides long. RefSeq lists it as uncharacterized. The record is from RefSeq and is a predicted model, not a curated record. Lineage: Eukaryota; Metazoa; Chordata; Actinopteri; Cypriniformes; Leuciscidae. The transcript is spliced from 3 exons.
GAGAGAGAGAGAAACAUUAUUCUAAUGGUAAAACUUACUGUACAUGUGUCACGCAAGGGAACAUAUGUGUGGAGGCCCAUUUGAUCACCUGAAGAUUAACCUGGAGAAAACAUGUGCCAGUCACCAUGGAGAUUAAUGAAAUAAUAUGUGGACCCCACAGAAGAUCUCAAACUGUCAGAGAAGGAGAUUCACCAGUCGCACAGUUUCACUUCCUGACAGUCAAGAUGCUUAUGUGUCGUAUCUGCGGCUGUCCUGCAGAGAAACUCGAACCCGCAGCCCUAAUGGGCCGUUUGGGGGAUGCUGAUUGGCAUAUCCGACGAGUCCUGUCGGUUGUUUUCUCUGUGUCCAGCCCAGCUCCUGCUUCUGUUAGUCUGAGGCGUGCAUUUUCCUCUGUUAAUGGUCCUGCAGCACCAAACUUUCUGGUGAUCGCUGUUUAAUUGCUGCCUGUGUCAGUGGGAUGCUGCAUCAGCCCCGAGAGAAGCGGCCAAAUGAGACACGCAUCAAACACGAGCGGAGGCCGCGAUGAUGAAGAUGAAGGUCGGCUGUUUACUCAUUACAUAUCAUGUGUGUGCGGCGGAAGCAGUGGGACUCAGUCCUUGGCACAUCAAAAUGGGGCUCACUCACAUACACAUCAUUAGUGCCAUGAGAAUGGCAUAAAUGAGGCCCACACACUCAGCAUCUAAUGGUUUGUGUCUGGGGGCAAUUCUUUUAGCGAUGUCAUAUGGAAAAACAGCAUGAUAACAGUAAAAAUAUGUGAAACUGUC